UGUCUACGUCAUACCACCCUGAAUAGGCCCAAUCUCAUAUGAUCUCAGAAGCUAAGCAGGAUCUGGCCUGGGUAAUACUUGGAUGGGAGAGUAAUCAAUCUAGAUUGGAGCAAGAGCACAGACAG
RNAcentral lists this ribosomal RNA (125 nucleotides) under Microcebus murinus (gray mouse lemur). Lineage: Eukaryota; Metazoa; Chordata; Mammalia; Primates; Cheirogaleidae. The record is from RNAcentral.